RNAcentral lists this ribosomal RNA (461 nucleotides) under uncultured bacterium. RNAcentral's name for it is "bacterial SSU rRNA". It matches the Rfam family "Bacterial small subunit ribosomal RNA", at positions 32 to 507 of the family's 1533-position model. The record is from RNAcentral.
AACGCUGGCGGCGCGCCUAACACAUGCAAGUCGAACGGAGCAUUUGAGCUUGCUCAAAUGCUUAGUGGCGAACGGGUGAGUAACACGUGAGCAAUCUGCCUUCGAGUGGGGGACAACAGUUGGAAACGACUGCUAAUACCGCAUAACACAGUUGAACCGCAUGAUUUAACUGUCAAAGCUUUAUGUGCUGAAAGAUGGCCUCGCGUCUGAUUAGCUAGUUGGUGGGGUAACGGCCCACCAAGGCGACGAUCAGUAGCCGGUCUGAGAGGAUGAACGGCCACAUUGGGACUGAGAUACGGCCCAGACUCCUACGGGAGGCAGCAGUGGGGAAUAUUGGGCAAUGGGCGCAAGCCUGACCCAGCAAUGCCGCGUGAAGGAAGAAGGCUUUCGGGUUGUAAACUUCUUUUGUCAGGGACGAGUAGAAGACGGUACCUGACGAAUAAGCCACGGCUAACUACGUG